UUGACCUCGGAUCAGGUAGGGAUACCCGCUGAACUUAAGCAUAUCAAUGAGCGGAGGAAAAGAAACCAACCGGGAUUGCCCUAGUAACGGCGAGUGAAGCGGCAAGAGCUCAAAUUUGAAAGCUGGCCCCCUCGGGGUCCGCAUUGUAAUUUGCAGAGGAUGCUUCGGGAACGGCCCCCAUCUAAGUGCCCUGGAACGGGCCGUCAUAGAGGGUGAGAAUCCCGUCUGGGAUGGGGUGGCCGCGCCCGUGUGAAGCUCCUUCGACGAGUCGAGUUGUUUGGGAAUGCAGCUCUAAUUGGGUGGUAAAUUUCAUCUAAAGCUAAAUAUUGGCCGGAGACCGAUAGCGCACAAGUAGAGUGAUCGAAAGAUGAAAAGCACUUUGAAAAGAGAGUUAAAAAGCACGUGAAAUUGUUGAAAGGGAAGCGCUUGCGACCAGACUCGCUCGCGGGGUUCAGCCGGCAUUCGUGCCGGUGUACUUCCCCGCGGGCGGGCCAGCGUCGGUUUGGGCGGUCGGUCAAAGGCCCUCGGAAGGUAACGCCCCUAGGGGCGUCUUAUAGCCGAGGGUGCAAUGCGACCUGCCUAGACCGAGGAACGCGCUUCGGCUCGGACGCUGGCAUAAUGGUCGUAAACGACC
This 634-nucleotide ribosomal RNA is filed under the name Penicillium westlingii. Its description in RNAcentral is "eukaryotic LSU rRNA". It matches the Rfam family "Eukaryotic large subunit ribosomal RNA", at positions 1 to 649 of the family's 3401-position model. The record is from RNAcentral. Lineage: Eukaryota; Fungi; Ascomycota; Eurotiomycetes; Eurotiales; Aspergillaceae.